AUCUUUUAAAAUACAGAGGG
Molecule: microRNA, 20 nt
Filed under: Macaca mulatta (Rhesus monkey)
Lineage: Eukaryota; Metazoa; Chordata; Mammalia; Primates; Cercopithecidae
Description: mml-miR-7207-5p
Source: miRBase by way of RNAcentral